Conger conger (European conger) is the source of this 651-nucleotide non-coding RNA. NCBI's taxonomy places the organism in Eukaryota, Metazoa, Chordata, Actinopteri, Anguilliformes, Congridae. The record is from the annotation of a RefSeq genome assembly.
AUGUACGGAGAGUACACAGAGAAUGGAGGAGCGGCCGUGAUCAGCUGGAUAAAGCACCCACUUGGACAGAAGCCUCAGCAUGUCACAAAGAUGGUGAACUAUGAUACAGAUGCUGUGUUUUUCAAUAAGUUUAAAAACAGUACACGUCUCAGUGCUAAGACAGCAAAGGGAAGCUUUAACCUGACUGUCUCAAAUGUAGAGCCAUCAGAUUCAGCAACAUACUACUGCACUUUUAUUCACUUCUUCGGUGAAAUCAGCUUUGGAAAUGGAAGUACAUUAAUAGUUACGGGGCCAGAGUCCCAGAGCAGGACAGUAGUGCUGCAGCAGCCCGAGUCUGAGUCAGUGCAGCCUGGAGACUCUGUGACUCUGCAGUGUACAGUACACACUGAGACCUGUGCAGGAGAACACAGUGUGCACUGGUUCAGACCGGGCUCAGGAGAGUCCCCUCCAGGAAUCAUUCACACCCAUGGACACAGUGAUGAGUGCCAGAGGAGCUCUGGGACUGUGUCUCCCACACAGAGCUGUGUCUACAACUUCCCCAAGAGGAACCUCAGCCUCUCUGAUGCUGGGACUUACUACUGUGCUGUGGCCACUUGUGGGGAGAUCCUGUUUGGGAACGGGACCAAGCUGGACUUCAAGGCAUCAAGAUGA